Molecule: long non-coding RNA, 1451 nt
Filed under: Homo sapiens (human)
Lineage: Eukaryota; Metazoa; Chordata; Mammalia; Primates; Hominidae
Description: HSALNT0251744
Source: RNAcentral
CAGUAAUUAAGGACAGGGUGGACAUAAGUUUGAGAAGCGUGACCUAUUUUCUUUUGAUCAGCUGUCAAAAGAAGAGCAGGGGGUCUCCUUAAGACAGCCCCCUUCAACCACUUCCAGCUGUUAGAGAAAACUUGAUAAGAAAACAAGGGCAGAGCUCGGAAUACUGUAUGUCCCUUCUUGGUGCCAGAGAAAGGUUUGAUUCAUUUGGAAAACAGUUCUUAGUCUCAGUGACCUUUUCUGCCGCCCUCCUCUCUCUUCUUGCUUCAGAGCAACACCCCCACCCCCACCCUGUCACAUGAAUGUACAGUGACGUUAUUCAUAGAUCAACUUCAUUGAGCUCUGGCCAAUACGCUGCCAAUUAUUCUUUCAAAUAGCGUCUUCUCUGUGUUAUCAAAGCCUGAGUAAGAAAGCGGCAGAUCCUCUGGUUUGCCAGACAUACUUUUCUGGUUGCUCACAUCUCUAGUGUCACAACAGGAGCCAGUUGCCACAGACCUCCACGUUGAAGCUCAUGUAAUUGGAACAUGCCCAGAUGAACCAUGUAUGAAACCAUGGGCAGAACCUAAGUGCUAAGAUGGAGGCGCAAGAACUGAAUUAAGAAGGAGACACUGAAUGACAGGAUUCAGGAUCCAAUCAUAUGGAGCCCUGGUAUCAUCUCAUUAUAAGAUCCAAUCAGAUCACAUCUCAUUAUGCUAUGCUUGUAAUACCAGUCCCAGCUCCCAGCUCAGGGAGACAGAUUUGAGCAUUUCCUCCUGUCCGCUGCCAGUUGACUUGCAAUAAAGCUUUUCUUUGCUCAAAAGCUGAUGCCAUGGUAUUGGCUUCACGUCAGGCAGCUGUCAGCUCAUUGGUUGCUCAGUAACGAGUACAUCCUUUCGAACUCAAGGCCCAGCAAGCCUGGUGCUUUAACCAUGUUUCUGUUUUUUUCUGUUCCUGGUCCGUGGGGAUGUUUUGUGUCUUUUAAAUUUUUUAAAUUAGAUUUCACUUUUUCUGUCAUCGUUGUGUUUGAAUAGAGGUGGGGUGGAGAGAAUGCACACCAUAAAUUUACAGCACCAUUUUAGCUGACAGUCCUUCUACAUGACUCAUAAAGUCAGGAAAAAAAAAUCAAUGAAAUCAAUGCUAUACCACCUCUACCUCUCAACUCUGUACUCUUUGCCCCCUUUUUAGUGCACACCAUUCCCCUCUUACCUGACUCCUGUGUCUCUCCACUGAUCUCUGUCACCAACUGGGAAGAAAUUGGGUGGCCUUAUUUGCUUAUACUAAAAAGUCAGGGAGUGUAGCAGACAGAAUAAUGCCUUUCCCGAAUGUCCAUGUCUUAAUUCCUAGAACUUGUGAACACACUACCUUAUAGGUAGAAGGGACUUCACAGGUAUGAUUUAUUGAAGGAUUUUGAGUUGGGAAAAUUAUCCUGGAUUAUCUGGGUGGGCCUGAUGUAAUCACAUGAUCCUCAUAAGAAG